This 465-nucleotide ribosomal RNA is filed under the name uncultured bacterium. Its description in RNAcentral is "partial 16S ribosomal RNA". It matches the Rfam family "Bacterial small subunit ribosomal RNA", at positions 338 to 795 of the family's 1533-position model. The record is from RNAcentral.
CCUACGGGAGGCAGCAGUAGGGAAUCUUCCACAAUGGACGAAAGUCUGAUGGAGCAACGCCGCGUGAGUGAAGAAGGGUUUCGGCUCGUAAAGCGCUGUUGGGAGGGUAGAAAGGUAGAGGGAGUAACUGGCCAUUAUUUGACGGUAAUUACUUAGAAAGUCACGGCUAACUACGUGCCAGCAGCCGGGGUAAUACGUAGGUGGCAAGAGUUGUCCGGAUUGAGUGGGCGUAAAGAGAGUGCAGGCGGUUCAAUAAGUCUGAUUUGAAAGCCUUCGGCUCAACCGGAGAAUUGCAUCAGAAACUGUUGAACCUUAGUGCAGAAGAGGGCAGUGGAACUCCAUGUGUAGCGGUGGAAUGCGUAGAUAUAUGGAAGAACACCAGUGGCGAAGGCGGCUCUCUGGUCUGCAACUGACGCUGAGGCUCGAAAGCAUGGGUAGCGAACAGGAUUAGAUACCCGGGUAGUC